RNAcentral lists this long non-coding RNA (355 nucleotides) under Ananas comosus (pineapple). RNAcentral's name for it is "long non-coding RNA (ACOM_LNC033758)". The record is from RNAcentral. Lineage: Eukaryota; Viridiplantae; Streptophyta; Magnoliopsida; Poales; Bromeliaceae.
AGAGCCCGGCAGGGCCAGGGCCAUCACGACGUACCCGACGGCCAUCAGGAUCUGCGAGGCUGCGUUCCAUAACGGCCGCGGAAUUGCGUUCUUCCUGAGAAGAGGUGGAAAAGGUGAGAGAGGUUAGGAGGAAAAAAUUCUUGACCAACUACAAUGCAAUCAAGAGAUAAGCUGCAGUUUUUCUUAAAACCUUCUCAAAAGACAAAAAAAAAAAAAAAAAAGGAAUCAUAAAAUUGAAACUAGUAUUCUCAAUAUUUGUAGAAAUAAGGAAUACGCACUUGAGGAAGUACUCGGAGAGGGUUCCCGAGCCGAUGCGGCCGAAGAAGCCCCAGAUGCUUAUCAAAGAUAUGAAGAC